This 751-nucleotide ribosomal RNA is filed under the name uncultured bacterium. RNAcentral's name for it is "bacterial SSU rRNA". It matches the Rfam family "Bacterial small subunit ribosomal RNA", at positions 53 to 884 of the family's 1533-position model. The record is from RNAcentral.
CCAUGCAAGUCGAACGGAGUGUUGCGCUGAAAUUGAUAUUAGUGGCCGACGGGUGAGUAACGCGUGAGGAACCUGCCUUACAGAGGGGGACAACAGUUGGAAACGACUGCUAAUACCGCAUGCUGUAAGAUGGCCUCGCGUCUGAUUAGAUAGUUGGUGGGGUAACGGCCUACCAAGUCGACGAUCACUAGCCGGACUGAGAGGUUGAACGGCCACAUUGGGACUGAGACACGGCCCACACUCCUACGGGAGGCAGCAGUGGGGGAUAUUGCACAAUGGAGGAAACUCUGAUGCAGCAACGCCGCGUGAGGGAAGAAGGUUUUCGGAUUGUAAACCUCUGUUUUUAGUGAAGCGGUAGCUAAAGAGGAAGCCACGGCUAACUACGUGCCAGCAGCCGCGGUAAUACGUAGGUGGCAAGCGUUGUCCGGAAUUACUGGGUGUAAAGGGUGCGCAGGCGGGAUUGCAAGUUGGAUGUGAAAUACCGGGGCUUAACCCCGGAGCUGCAUCCAAAACUGUAGUUCUUGAGUGGAGUAGAGGUAAGCGGAAUUCCGAGUGUAGCGGUGAAAUGCGUAGAUAUUCGGAGGAACACCAGUGGCGAAGGCGGCUUACUGGGCUCUAACUGACGCUGAGGCACGAAAGCAUGGGUAGCAAACAGGAUUAGAUACCCUGGUAGUCCAUGCUGUAAACGAUGAAUGCUAGGUGUGGGGUCGUGCCGGAGUAAACACAAUAAGCAUUCCACCUGGGGAGUACG